UGAUUUAAAAAACGAAAAAAA
RNAcentral lists this non-coding RNA (21 nucleotides) under Caenorhabditis elegans. The record is from RNAcentral. Lineage: Eukaryota; Metazoa; Nematoda; Chromadorea; Rhabditida; Rhabditidae.